This 1677-nucleotide long non-coding RNA is filed under the name Marmota monax (woodchuck). Lineage: Eukaryota; Metazoa; Chordata; Mammalia; Rodentia; Sciuridae. The record is from RNAcentral.
GGCGGCUCUGCCCCUCAGCAGGCCACUGCGCCUGUUCUGCCCAGAAGUAAAUCUUAAUUAAAAUGAAAGAUUUUGGCAAAGAUGAGGAAAUGGCAAGAGUCAUCCUACUGAGAGUUAUCCCCCUACCCCCAGCAGCACUGGGACUGGGGAUUGAACCUGGAGCCUCGUGCAGGAUAGGAGAGCAGUGUACUCCUGAGCUAUAUCCCAAGCCCAGGAGAGAUAGCCAUCCUACUGAUGUGCAGGAGGUGGUUUGUGGGUGGACAUGAACCCCUGUCUAGGAAGUGAACAUUUAUUUUUGCAGCACUCAGAAGGGCUCUUAAAAUUCAGGACUUUCUCCCACCUUUAGAUUGCAUAGUCUCUCCUCCUUUGGAGCAUUCUGGGAUUCCCUAUGUCUCCUAGAACUGUCCCAUUCCUUCUAGAAGGGUGUUUAAAUUUUUUAAAAAUUUGUGUUCCAAAGUCCGUGUGAAAUUGUAACAUAAUAAGAAAUAAAUGUUUGAGCUUCAUCCCUAGUUCCUGGAAGGGGUGAAAGGAGCACAUUUUGUUAUUAAUAAUAAGGUUUCUUUUUCAUUCAUAACUGAGUUUAUGCUCAUGAAGUGACUUUUGGUAGAUGGGGGCUGGUUGCCAGAGUAACUGACUGUGUGACUAGAACUUGCAGCCCCACCACCUGACUUCUGAGGAAAGGAGAGGUGUUGGAGAUUAAAAUCAAUCAUCAGUGGCCCAUGAUUUAAUCAAUUGCACCUGUGACAUGAAGACUUCACAAAAACCCUGAGCAGUGGGGUUUGGAGAACUUCCAGGUUGGUGAACAAGAACAUGUGCCCUGUGCCAGGAGAAUGAUGCACCCAAAAGUCAGAGACAGAAGCUCCUAUGCUCAGGACCCUUUCUGGACCUUUCACCCUGUGUAUCUCUUCAACCAGAUGUUCAUUUAUAUACUUUAAAAUCUCCUUUGAAAUAAAUUGGUAAUACAGGUAAUAAUAAACAAGUCCCGGCCAAGUGUGGUGGUGCACACCUGUAAUUCCAGCCGCCCGGGAGGCUGAGACUGAAGGAUCGCGAGUUCAAAGCCAACCUCAGCAAUGGUGAGGUGCUUAGCAACUCAGUGAGGCCCUGUCUCUAAAUAGAAUACAAAAUAGGUCUGGGGAUGUGGCUCAGUGGUUAAGUGCCCCUGAGUCCAAUCCCCAGUACCAAUAAACCAUCAAACAAAUAAAUAAAACAAGUCCUUUCCCCCAAGUUCUAUGAAUCAAACAAUCAAACCCUGGGAAUCCCUGAUUUAUCACGUUGGUUAGAGGGUGGGAGGCCUGUACUCAUGGCUGCUGUCUGCACUGCUGUCUUGUGGGACUGAGCCCACAGCAUAGGGAUCCGAUACAGCUCCAGGAAGGCACUGUGAAGGUUAAGUUGAAUUGAGACAAACUCAUCAGUAUUUAGAAAAUUGGAGAAUUAUUUGGUGUUAAAAGUAUUGUGAAAAAAAAAGAUUGUUUUGUUUGCUUUGCUUGGUUGGGUGGGGGGAGUCCACUGGCAUACUGAGACUUUUGAGUGUGACCCUAUUAGACAGGCGGGUGUUUCAAGAAAUUUCAUAGACUUAACUGGCCCCCUGAUAUAAAUACCCAUGGGUUAGCAUAAGGAAAGAGUUUGGAGGACUUGCUAGAUUAUUUACCAACAUCUCAGCAUAUAUUUGGAAGUCAG